GUUUCAAAUAUAUUUCUUGUAUAUAUUUUUAUUAUUGAAAAAUACAUUCACUGUUAGUGUUUAUUAAGUUCUCUCAAGUUAAAUCUGAAUUAAACUUUUACCUAUAAUGAAAAUAUUUAUUUUAUCCCUAACUGAAUGUCAAAUAAUGUCAAAUAAGAAAAGUUGAUAGAGAUUGAAAGUAUAUUUGAAGGGGCAAACGGAUAAAAUAUUUUUUUCCGCUAACUUAAGAAUAAAUAAAAAAAUUGAUAAUAAUAGACGAGUAUAUUUAAAAGUGUAAAAUAAUACUUUUACAGAAAUAAUGAUUGUUUCUAAUCGUUCACUAACAAAAUUAAACUCCAGAAAAAUACCUCUAUAAUUUUUUAUGACUUGUAAUAAUUCUACAACUUAGGCCCAUUUGUUAAUAACAAAAAAUAUUUUGAGAGAAAUAUGAUAUGCUAAACUGAACUGAAAUAUAAAACAACUGGACGUUAAUAAAUUUAUGAUUUUUGGAUAUUAUUUGGGAAUUGAGCUAGAAUCCUUUUAGAAGCACUAAUAUCUCGGUGCUUCUAAGUUUCUAUCUCUUAGAUUUACUCCUUAAUUACUAAUACCCUUUAGAUCAAACACUAUUCUACCUACCACUAUCAUCUUAACCCUAUAUCUCUCAAUCUAAUUCUUUAAGGUAUCGUUUGGUUCGGGGAUAAGAAAAAAGUGGCUAUUCUAGGGAUAGGUAUAAAUUGAGGUAUAAGCGAGGAUUAGAUCAAUUUUACGUUUGGAUGAAAAUUGGAUUAUUCCUGGAAUAAAAAAAAUAGCGUUUGGUUAGGUAAGAUGGAAUAAAAAAGAUAAUGGGUUUUGUAAAUAAAAAAUAAUAAUAUUAUCCACUUAUUAUAUUUGAAUUUGAAUUUUUAAAUUUUUAAAUUUAUAUUUCUAAAUUUAAAUUUUUAACUUUGAAAUUUAAAAUCUCAAAUUUUAAAUUCAAAAUUUUAAAUUUUAAAUUUCAAACUUUAAAUUUAAGAUCAUAUUUAAAUUUAAAAAAAAUAUCAAAUAUCAAAAUUUAAAUUUCAAAAAUUUAAAAUAUCAAAAUUUAAAUUUAAAAUUUAAAAUUUAUAAUUUAAAUUUUAAACUUUAAUUUUGAGAUUAUAAAUUAUAAAUUUUAAAAAUUUAAAUUUUUAAUUUUUAAAAUUUUAAAAUAAGAAUAGUGGUGGGAACAAUUAAUAAAAAUAAUUUAUUAUAAUAAAUUUAUAAAUUUUUUAAAAAUUCUACUUAAAUUUAAAUUUAAUAAAAAGAAUUUAUUAUAAUAUUUAAAUAUAAUUUAUUAUAAAUUUUAUUAUAAUAUUUAAAUAUAAAUAAUAUGUAUUAAUAUAGUACAAUUAAUAAUUUUAUAAUAAAAAUAAUGUAUUAUAAUAUAUAACAUAUUAUAUUUAUAUAAUUUAGUUUAAUUCAAUUUAUAAGUUUAAUUAAGUUUGAAAUUAAGCAUUGGAAUAGCACUAUUCCACCAAAAUGGUGGAAUAGCAAAUCCCUUGCUAUUCCGGGAUAACCGAGAAUAGCAAGGUUUGACCGGGAUAAAAUAUCCCGGCCAAAUUUCACCCCGUUUGGCGGAAUAGCGGGGAUAACUUUCGUUAUCCCCGCUUAUCCCGCGAUCCAAACGGGGCCUAAAAAUUUAAAAGCACCAUCCCUUAGUACUUUUGAGAGUAUUCUAACGCAACUCUUAGUCACCGUUUGGUUGGGGGUUAAGGGGUGGAAUAACCCCUUAACCCCCAAUUUAUACCCAAACACCACUCUUAAGGGGUGGGGUUUACUACCCCACCCAAAACCGGGUUAGUGGGGUUUACUAACCCCACUCCACCUCCCAACUUUAACCCCGCACGUAUCCCGAGCCCUCACCUUUUUCUUCUUUAUCAAUCAUUAACCCCAUCCCCCCUCCCAACUUUAACCCCGCACGCAUCCCGAGCCCUCACCUUUUUUUUCUUUAUCAAUCAUUAUCUUCUUAUUCCACCUACUCCAACCAAAUACUUUUUUUCACUAUCCUAGACUAACUCCAAUUUCCAACUAAACAUAAAAAAAUUUUAACACCAUUUUAAUCAUGAACUUAACACUAUUUUUGAAAUAACUACUUUUUCUUAACCCCGAAACAAACGGUGGCUUAAAUUAUUUGGCAACAAAAAGUUAGAAAAGUAGGUAAUGGUUAGGAAGAAGUG
Molecule: long non-coding RNA, 2174 nt
Filed under: Ananas comosus (pineapple)
Lineage: Eukaryota; Viridiplantae; Streptophyta; Magnoliopsida; Poales; Bromeliaceae
Description: long non-coding RNA (ACOM_LNC028545)
Source: RNAcentral